Molecule: long non-coding RNA, 728 nt
Organism: Centruroides sculpturatus (bark scorpion)
Lineage: Eukaryota; Metazoa; Arthropoda; Arachnida; Scorpiones; Buthidae
Exons: 4
Source: RefSeq, a predicted model, not a curated record
UUUUAAAUUUGUAACUACCGACUUAACCGCCAAUACCAUUAAAUUUGGAAAAGAUUCGGGGUUCGUGCAUUAUAAGAAACGAGAAAAUUCAGUCUUUUUUAAUUAAGAAAUGAAGGAAAUUUGUUGCAAGGAAGAGAAAUGCCGACAACGAUAAUGUUGAAUUUAUAAGAGGUACACAAUUUCCUUUAUUCCCGUAACACGUGGAAAAACUUGACUGAAAGGUUUUGGGUCACCUUUUGCCUCUUUCCACUCAAACAGAUUUUCCACUUCUUCCCUUAAGUAUCCCGAAAGGUCAUAUACUUCGGAGGAGUUCAACAUUUCGCCCGAAGAAUUACGGAUGAAAUCUGAAAGUUUGGAAGAAUGAAGGGAACAUAUACUACUGAGAAAAUGGAUUUAAAUAUCGGAAAGACUUUCUUUGUGAUAAAUUUAUCGAGAAAAAUGUCUUUGUAAAUAAACCUUGAACAAUUUUUGUGGGGACCGAAAGAAACGAAGAAAUUGUUAUAAAUGAUUGAUUUCUGCAUUUUACGAUAAAUUUGAAAUUGGAUUUAUUUUAGAUUAAAUAUAGGUUUAUUUUUAAGAUAUAGCCAAUAAGUCGAACAUGUUUUUCUGCAUUUGUGGUUCUAUUUAUUGAUUUAUGUUCGAUGUUUAAAUUCAGAUUUAACAUCGUUUGACUUUUCUAUAGGUUUUGUGCAUGAAAAUGCAAAGAAAUUUCGCUGUGAAGAUUGUGG